RNAcentral lists this unclassified non-coding RNA (313 nucleotides) under Basidiomycota sp. RNAcentral's name for it is "partial contains small subunit ribosomal RNA, internal transcribed spacer 1, and 5.8S ribosomal RNA". The stretch from base 1 to 47 matches the Rfam family "Eukaryotic small subunit ribosomal RNA", at positions 1785 to 1831 of the family's 1831-position model. The record is from RNAcentral. Lineage: Eukaryota; Fungi; Basidiomycota.
AAAGUCGUAACAAGGUUUCCGUAGGUGAACCUGCGGAAGGAUCAUUAUUGAAUGAACUUGGUGUGGUUGUUGCUGGCCCUUUCGGGGGCAUGUGCACACCCGCCAUCCUCAUCUCUCCACCUGUGCACCUCUUGUAGACUUGGAUUGACUUUCCGAGGCAACUCGGUCGGGAGGAUUGCUGGCACUAGCUGGCUUUCUUUGCAUUUCCAGGUCUACGUUUUUCAUAUACCCCAUUGUAUGUAACAGAAUGUAAUAUUAGGCCCUUGUGCCUAUAAACCUUAUACAACUUUCAGCAACGGAUCUCUUGGCUCUC